Molecule: ribosomal RNA, 453 nt
Filed under: uncultured bacterium
Lineage: Bacteria
Description: bacterial SSU rRNA
Rfam family: Bacterial small subunit ribosomal RNA
Source: RNAcentral
UACGGAAGGCAGCAGUGGGGAAUAUUGCACAAUGGGCGCAAGCCUGAUGCAGCCAUGCCGCGUGUAUGAAGAAGCCUUCGGGUUGUAAAGUACUUUCAGUCGUGAGGAAGGUGUUAAGGUUAAUAACCUUAGCAAUUGACGUUAGCGACAGAAGAAGCACCGGCUAACUCCGUGCCAGCAGCCGCGGUAAUACGGAGGGUGCGAGCGUUAAUCGGAAUUACUGGGCGUAAAGGGCACGCAGGCGGUUAAUUAAGUUGGAUGUGAAAUCCCCGGGCUUAACCUGGGAAUGGCAUUCAAGACUGGUUAGCUAGAGUCUUGUAGAGGGGGUAGAAUUCCAUGUGUAGCGGUGAAAUGCGUAGAGAUGUGGAGGAAUACCGGUGGCGAAGGCGGCCCCUGGACAAAGGCUGACGCUCAUGUGCGAAAGCGUGGGGAGCGAAACAGGGAUUAGAUACC